Lemur catta (Ring-tailed lemur) is the source of this 287-nucleotide long non-coding RNA. RefSeq lists it as uncharacterized. The transcript is spliced from 3 exons. The record is from RefSeq and is a predicted model, not a curated record. NCBI's taxonomy places the organism in Eukaryota, Metazoa, Chordata, Mammalia, Primates, Lemuridae.
CAGUGGUUCCUCAGCAGCUUCCUGGGCCACUUCCUCUGGCUGUGGGCAGAGAAGGGCAAGGCUGGUGAGGGCAGCCAGGAUGCCCCCCAAAUUCCUACGCUGCUGGCAACCACAAGGAGGGUGGACCUGGAGGAGAGAUGGCAACAGUGGGACCACAGGCACUGGAGGCAGCGAAGCCUGGAGAGCACCUGAGCCUUGCAGGUGAGUGAAGCUGAGGGUGGAAUCCAAAAGUGGGACAAGGAGAAGGAGGAAAAGGAAAAGGAAGAAGAGGAGACGGCAGUGGGGGC